GACGAACGCUGGCGGCGUGCUUAACACAUGCAAGUCGAGCGGUAAGGCCCUUUCGGGGGUACGACGAGCGGCGAACGGGUGAGUAACACGUGGGUGACCUGCCCUCAGCUCUGGGAUAAGCCUGGGAAACUGGGUCUAAUACCGGAUAUGACUCCAUGACGCAUGUUGUGGGGUGGAAAGCCUUGUGCGGCUGAGGAUGGGCCCGCGGCCUAUCAGCUUGUUGGUGGGGUGAGGCCUACCAAGGCGACGACGGGUAGCCGGCCUGAGAGGGCGACCGGCCACACUGGGACUGAGACACGGCCCAGACUCCUACGGGAGGCAGCAGUGGGGAAUCUUGCGCAAUGGGCGAAAGCCUGACGCAGCGACGCCGCGUGAGGGAUGAC
Molecule: ribosomal RNA, 383 nt
Filed under: uncultured bacterium
Lineage: Bacteria
Description: bacterial SSU rRNA
Rfam family: Bacterial small subunit ribosomal RNA
Source: RNAcentral